GCGGCGGACGGGUGAGUAACACGUGGGCAACCUGCCCGCAAGACCGGGAUAACUCCGGGAAACCGGAGCUAAUACCGGAUAACACCGAAGACCGCAUGGUCUUCGGUUGAAAGGCGGCCUUUGGGCUGUCACUUGCGGAUGGGCCCGCGGCGCAUUAGCUAGUUGGUGAGGUAACGGCUCACCAAGGCGACGAUGCGUAGCCGGCCUGAGAGGGUGACCGGCCACACUGGGACUGAGACACGGCCCAGACUCCUACGGGAGGCAGCAGUAGGGAAUCUUCCGCAAUGGGCGAAAGCCUGACGGAGCGACGCCGCGUGAGCGAAGAAGGCCUUCGGGUCGUAAAGCUCUGUUGUGAGGGACGAAGGAGCGCCGUUCGAAGAGGGCGGCGCGGUGACGGUACCUCACAAGAAAGCCCCGGCUAACUACUUGCCAGCAGCCGCGGUAAUAC
Molecule: ribosomal RNA, 448 nt
Filed under: Geobacillus sp. H20C009
Lineage: Bacteria; Bacillati; Bacillota; Bacilli; Caryophanales; Anoxybacillaceae
Description: bacterial SSU rRNA
Rfam family: Bacterial small subunit ribosomal RNA
Source: RNAcentral